GCUCAGAAACUUAAAGGAAGUUGACGGGGCCCGCACAAGCGGUGGAGCAUGUGGUUUAAUUCGAUGCAACGCGAAGAACCUUACCUGGUCUUGACAUCCCGGAGACCCUUAGGAAACUAGGGGGUGCUUCCAUCUGGAAGAAUCUGGAGACAGGUGCUGCAUGGCUGUCGUCAGCUCGUGUCGUGAGAUGUUGGGUUAAGUCCCGCAACGAGCGCAACCCUUGCCUUUAGUUGCCAGCAGUUCGGCUGGGCACUCUAAAGGGACUGCCGGUGUUAAACCGGAGGAAGGUGGGGAUGACGUCAAGUCCUCAUGGCCUUUAUGACCAGGGCUACACACGUACUACAAUGGCCGAUACAAAGGGCAGCGACACUGCGAGGUGAAGCCAAUCCCGUAAAAUCGGUCUCAGUCCGGAUUGGAGUCUGCAACUCGACUCCAUGAAGUUGGAAUCGCUAGUAAUCGUGGAUCAGCAUGCCACGGUGAAUACAUUCCCGGGCCUU
RNAcentral lists this ribosomal RNA (497 nucleotides) under uncultured Desulfobulbus sp. Its description in RNAcentral is "bacterial SSU rRNA". It matches the Rfam family "Bacterial small subunit ribosomal RNA", at positions 891 to 1382 of the family's 1533-position model. Lineage: Bacteria; Pseudomonadati; Thermodesulfobacteriota; Desulfobulbia; Desulfobulbales; Desulfobulbaceae. The record is from RNAcentral.